AGAUCUACAAAAACAGUCUAAACAAUCUGGCACAAGUCACCGAAACGGGAUCCGUGGGAUUCGCUGAUCGUGGAUGACCAGUGGCAUGCAACACGGGAACAAAGUGUUAACACACCAGAGAUCCACGCUAUCGGCAUAUCUGGAGGCUGCAUUUAUCAAUCAAUUAAACUGUUUUACUGAUUGCCAGAGAGAGGGAAUCCACAGACAGAGUUCUGAUUAGCAGUACAUUAAUUUACACGUUUUAUUUUAUUUUGUUUUUAUUUUAAUUGUAGUGUGGUUUGUUUGGAUUGUUUGUUGCUGUUUUUAUGUUUCGUCUGAGUUCUGGUUAGCAGUAAAUUAAUAUACAUGUUUUAUUUUAUUUUGUUUUUAUUUUAAUUGUAUUGGGGGGUGGGUGUGUGGGGGGAUGGGGGCGGUGUUUAUUGUUGUUUUUGUGGUUUGUCUGCUCUAGUUGGUAUUUCUCGACAUUUAUAGAAUCAGCCAUUAUUUUGCGAAAUGUUCACUGAACUCUGCAUUAUGCAUGAACACGACCACGAGCACGCAUUACGGUCUUGUGGUUCAGAUUAAUAGUUAUAUUGUUAAUGCAUAAUGCAAAUCAGAAGAAACACAUUUUCCGUCCAGGGUCUUCAUAGUCACAUUUGUUAUGCCCCCCCCCCCCCCCCCCCCCCCCAUAGAGUAAUGGUGGUUGUAUAGUAAGCAUUUAAAUCGUGUGCUGUGACCUCGACUUUUCUCAAGUAACCUAAUUUUAAUAUUGGACAAUUAUUUUUACAUUUAGUAGUAAUCAUUUGUAUAUGUGCAGGUAUUGUGUAAUGUCCUGGCUAUUCCAUUUAUUAUAGUUAUUAUUUAAGGAAACUUUUAAGAGUGCAGUUUGUCGUUCGGUGCACUAUAGACAAAAACGAAGUUGUAUAACUAUUGCUAUUAGGGGCCGUUCAACUAUUAAGUAACGUUAUGUUUGUCAAAAUGAGUCACCCCCACCCCCCUUGUAACGCUAGACCAUGCAUUCCCGAAAAUAUUACGUAACGCUCGGAUAUACCCCCCCCCCCCCCCCACACACACACACACGCACCAACACACAGACAAAGCAACGUGACAAUGUUUAUUUAUACCCAUGUGUACUAUUGCUGUAAGAUGGAAAAAAACAAACCCGCGGGUUUUCACUUGCGCGAUUUGAAUUGACCCACAAAAGUAUAAAUACAAUAUUAAAAUGUCUGGUGUAUUAAAGCAUUUCAGCUUGA
This is a long non-coding RNA of Gigantopelta aegis, 1232 nucleotides long. RefSeq lists it as uncharacterized. The record is from RefSeq and is a predicted model, not a curated record. The transcript has 2 exons. Lineage: Eukaryota; Metazoa; Mollusca; Gastropoda; Neomphalida; Peltospiridae.